Molecule: small nucleolar RNA, 86 nt
Organism: Mustela putorius furo (domestic ferret)
Lineage: Eukaryota; Metazoa; Chordata; Mammalia; Carnivora; Mustelidae
Source: Ensembl
UAGUCUGAAGUGAUGGCUCUUUAAAUUUCAUAUCUUUGACAUUUUUCUCUGAAGAAAGUUUUUUUCUUACUCACUGGAUCAGAAUG